GGAUCAUUACAAGAAGCCGAAAGGCUACUUCAAACCAUCGCGAACUCGUCCAAGUUGCUUCGGCGGCGCGGCACCCCUUAACGGGGGCGCCGCAGCCCUGCCUCUCCGGAGGUUCGGGGCGCCCGCCGGAGGUACGAAACUCUGUAUUAUAGUGGCAUCUCUGACUAUAAAACAAAUAAGUUAAAACUUUCAACAACGGAUCUCUUGGUUCUGGCAUCGAUGAAGAACGCAGCGAAAUGCGAUAAGUAAUGUGAAUUGCAGAAUUCAGUGAAUCAUCGAAUCUUUGAACGCACAUUGCGCCCGGUAGUACUCUACCGGGCAUGCCUGUUCGAGCGUCAUUUCAACCCUCAAGCCCUGCUUGGUGUUGGGGCCCUACGGCUGCCGUAGGCCCUGAAAGGAAGUGGCGGGCUCGCUACAACUCCGAGCGUAGUAAUUCAUUAUCUCGCUAGGGAGGUUGCGGCGUGCUCCUGCCGUUAAAGACCCAUCUUUAACCAAGGUUGACCUCGGAUCAGGUAGGAAUACCCGCUGAACUUAAGCAUAUCAAUAAGCGGAGGAAAAGAAACCAACAGGGAUUGCCCUAGUAACGGCGAGUGAAGCGGCAACAGCUCAAAUUUGAAAUCUGGCUUCGGCCCGAGUUGUAAUUUGUAGAGGAUGCUUUUGGUGAGGUGCCUUCUGAGUUCCCUGGAACGGGACGCCAGAGAGGGUGAGAGCCCCGUAUAGUCGGCCACCGAUCCUUUGUAAAGCUCCUUCGACGAGUCGAGUAGUUUGGGAAUGCUGCUCAAAAUGGGAGGUAUAUCUCUUCUAAAGCUAAAUAUAGGCCAGAGACCGAUAGCGCACAAGUAGAGUGAUCGAAAGAUGAAAAGCACUUUGAAAAGAGGGUUAAAUAGCACGUGAAAUUGUUGAAAGGGAAGCGCUUGUGACCAGACUUGUGCCGGGCUGAUCAUCCAGUGUUCUCACUGGUGCACUCGACCCGGCUCAGGCCAGCGUCGGUUUUCGUGGGGGGAUAAAAGCUUCGGGAACGUGGCACCUUCGGGUGUGUUAUAGCCCGUUGCUUAAUACCUCCGUGGAGACCGAGGU
This 1077-nucleotide ribosomal RNA is filed under the name Sordariomycetes sp. genotype 32. RNAcentral's name for it is "eukaryotic LSU rRNA". The stretch from base 499 to 1077 matches the Rfam family "Eukaryotic large subunit ribosomal RNA", at positions 1 to 592 of the family's 3401-position model. The record is from RNAcentral. Lineage: Eukaryota; Fungi; Ascomycota; Sordariomycetes.